UUUUUCUUCUUUAUCCGGCCUCAAGUCUGGUGCCAGCAGCCGCGGUAAUUCCAGCUCCAAUAGCGUAUAUUAAAGUUGUUGCAGUUAAAAAGCUCGUAGUUGAAUUUCGGGGUUAGUAGGUUGGUCAUGCCUCUGGUAUGUACUGGUCUCACUGAUUCCUCCUUCCUGAUGAGCCGUAAUGCCAUUAAUUUGGUGUUGCGGGGAAUUUGGACUGUUUCUUUGAAAAAAUUAGAGUGUUUAAAGCAAGCUUUCGCUUGAAUACAUUAGCAUGGAAUAAUGAAAUAGGACGUUCGAUCCUAUUUUGUUGGUUUCUAGGAUCGACGUAAUGAUUAAUAGGGAUAGUUGGGGGCAUUAGUAUUCAAUUGUCAGAGGUGAAAUUCUUGGAUUUAUUGAAGACUAACUACUGCGAAAGCAUUUGCCAAGGAUGUUUUCAUUAAUCAAGAACGAAAGUUAGGGGAUCGAAGACGAUCAGAUACCGUCGUAGUCUUAACCAUAAACUAUGCCGACUAGGGAUCGGAUGAUGUUAAUGUUAAUGACUCAUGGAACG
Molecule: ribosomal RNA, 547 nt
Filed under: uncultured Glomeromycotina
Lineage: Eukaryota; Fungi; Glomeromycota
Description: SSU rRNA
Rfam family: Eukaryotic small subunit ribosomal RNA
Source: RNAcentral